AUUCGUAGGGAGCGAGCGUUGUCCGGAAUUACUGGGCGUAAAGGGCGCGUAGGCGGCGCUUCAAGUCGUCUGUCAAAUGGGAGGGCUUAACCCUUUUUCGCAGACGAAACUGGAGAGCUUGAGAAGCAGAGAGGCAAACAGAAUUCCUGGUGUAGCGGUGAAAUGCGUAGAUAUCAGGAAGAAUACCAGUGGCGAAGGCGGUUUGCUGGCUGCAUACUGACGCUGAAGCGCGAAAGCCAGGGGAGCAAACGGGAUUAGAUACCCCGGUAGUCCUGGCAGUAAACGAUGUAUGCUGGGUGUGAGACUAGCGAUAGUUUCGUGCCGAAGUUAACGCGAUAAGCAUACCGCCUGGGGAGUACGGCCGCAAGGUUGAAACUCAAAUGAAUUGGCGGGG
Molecule: ribosomal RNA, 394 nt
Filed under: uncultured bacterium
Lineage: Bacteria
Description: partial 16S ribosomal RNA
Rfam family: Bacterial small subunit ribosomal RNA
Source: RNAcentral